GGUUGUAGCUUGUGUUACUGUCACAGUAGUGCUAACGGCCUCUGCAGUCUUCUGUUUAGCUUGCUCCAAGCGCUCUCUGGCCUCCACUAGUUCUGCUGAUUGCAUUUUUGUGAUGGCUCUCAUCAGUUUGCUUUGCACAGCAUGCAUUCGUGCCGCAGUGCCAUUAACAUGACGGCUGGUGUCUGCAAUGGUUAAAUCAUUACUAUAAGCUGCUGUCUGUUGUAGCUCCAUGGCUCGUCUGAGCAGUUCUUCACUUUUACCUCUGUGGUAGAUGAUCUGAGUAUCAAUUCCAACUGCAGCAUCAUUGACCCGAUUUGUUGUGUUCAGUGCCAGCAAAGCAGCUUUAUUAGCUUCUUCAAUAUAACCGGCAAUAUUUUCAUAUACAUUUGAAGCAUUUAUUGCCCUUUGUACCAAUCCAUUUGUAUCAACACCAUGUAAAUUCCGGUCCAACUCAUCAGCAAGUCUUCUUAGGUUAUGUGCAUGCUGCAUAGCCUUUUCUUCCAGCUCAUCAUCAAACAGAGACAGAUUGGCUAUUUUUUCUUGCAAUUCCUUUUUUGCUCCAUCUAUUUCUGCGUAGAACCCUGACACAUUCUUUAUUACCUCACUUAACUCUGAGCUGAUCUUUUGUGGUUCUGCCAGAAUAGCUGUGGCACUUAGCACAAUACUGUUCACUUCAUCUGCUUGCUCUUUUAAUUUCUCAUGUUGUUUCUCAUGCUCUUGAAGAUUGGCUGUGUUUUCCUUAUUUAUUGCCUCUGUUUGUAUAACAUAGUCAAGGGCCUGGCCUAAUGCCUCCUCCAGGUCUGACAGCUUCAUAUUGUGUUCACUGAGCUGCUCCACCACAUCAGAAAACAGAGAUCUGGUGUCAUUGUACCUCUCAUGAAACUCUUCAACUCGCUGUAACAAGUCCUCUGCAGCAUGUUCCUCCUCAUCUGCAAGUUGCCUCUCAUUCGUGAAAGGCUUACGGCGUUUGAUUUCCUUCAGCAUCUCCUCGGCCACACUCAGCUUCUGGGCAAUUUCUUCAGGGCUUAGCUCUUGUUGAAUCGCAUAGUAUUUCAUCUUGCUGCUGAUUUCUUGAAUAUUAUCCCUCAUAUUACUAAGCUUCUGCACGAGCUGAGUAGCACGGUUGUUGGUCUCCAUGGUUUCC
RNAcentral lists this long non-coding RNA (1144 nucleotides) under Gallus gallus (chicken). The record is from RNAcentral. Lineage: Eukaryota; Metazoa; Chordata; Aves; Galliformes; Phasianidae.